AACGAACGCUGGCGGCAUGCCUAACACAUGCAAGUCGAACGAGACCUUCGGGUCUAGUGGCGCACGGGUGCGUAACGCGUGGGAACCUGCCCUUAGGUUCGGAAUAACUCCCCGAAAGGGGUGCUAAUACCGGAUAAUGUCUUCGGACCAAAGAUUUAUCGCCUUUGGAUGGGCCCGCGUUGGUUUAGCUAGUGGGUAGGGUAAAAGCCUACCAAGGCGACGAUCCAUAGCUGGUCUGAGAGGAUGAUCAGCCACACUGGGACUGAGACACGGCCCAGACUCCUACGGGAGGCAGCAGUGGGGAAUAUUGGACAAUGGGCGAAAGCCUGAUCCAGCAAUGCCGCGUGAGUGAUGAAGGCCGUAGGGUUGUAAAGCUCUUUUACCCGGGAUGAUAAUGACAGUACCGGGAGAAUAAGCACCGGCUAACUCCGUG
RNAcentral lists this ribosomal RNA (433 nucleotides) under uncultured bacterium. RNAcentral's name for it is "partial 16S ribosomal RNA". It matches the Rfam family "Bacterial small subunit ribosomal RNA", at positions 29 to 507 of the family's 1533-position model. The record is from RNAcentral.